This 253-nucleotide ribosomal RNA is filed under the name uncultured bacterium. RNAcentral's name for it is "partial 16S ribosomal RNA". It matches the Rfam family "Bacterial small subunit ribosomal RNA", at positions 524 to 776 of the family's 1533-position model. The record is from RNAcentral.
UACAGAGGUCCCAAGCGUUGUUCGGAUUCACUGGGCGUAAAGGGUGCGUAGGUGGCCAGGUAAGUUCGGUGUGAAAGCUCGGAGCUUAACUCCGAAAUGGCAUUGAAUACUAUCUGGCUAGAGGGUCGGAGGGGAGACUGGAAUUCUCGGUGUAGCAGUGAAGUGCGUAGAUAUCGAGAGGAACACCAGUGGCGAAGGCGAGUCUCUGGACGACUCCUGACACUGAGGCACGAAAGCCAGGGGAGCAAACAGG